UACGGAGGAUUCGAGCGUUAUCCGGAAUCAUUGGGUUUAAAGGGUCCGUAGGCGGGUUAGUAAGUCAGGGGUGAAAGUUUUCGGCUUAACCGAAAAAUUGCCUUUGAUACUGCUAGUCUUGAAUAUUUGUGAAGUAACUAGAAUAUGUGGUGUAGCGGUGAAAUGCAUAGAUAUCACAUGGAAUACCGAUUGCGAAGGCAGGUUACUAACAGAUUAUUGACGCUGAUGGACGAAAGCGUGGGUAGCGAACAGG
RNAcentral lists this ribosomal RNA (253 nucleotides) under uncultured bacterium. RNAcentral's name for it is "partial 16S ribosomal RNA". It matches the Rfam family "Bacterial small subunit ribosomal RNA", at positions 524 to 776 of the family's 1533-position model. The record is from RNAcentral.